UCUUUCGGAUGAGCAAAGAAAGCAGUUUUUUGAGAUAGAACCUACGCCUGGUGAAGAUGCUGUGAA
Molecule: non-coding RNA, 66 nt
Organism: Podarcis lilfordi (Lilford's wall lizard)
Lineage: Eukaryota; Metazoa; Chordata; Lepidosauria; Squamata; Lacertidae
Source: the annotation of a GenBank genome assembly